This 371-nucleotide ribosomal RNA is filed under the name uncultured bacterium. RNAcentral describes it as "bacterial SSU rRNA". It matches the Rfam family "Bacterial small subunit ribosomal RNA", at positions 524 to 898 of the family's 1533-position model. The record is from RNAcentral.
UACGUAGGGGGCAAGCGUUGUCCGGAUUUAUUGGGCGUAAAGGGUGCGCAGGCGGUCUUUUAAGUCAGAUGUGAAAGCUCACGGCUCAACCGUGGUAAGCAUUUGAAACUGGAAGGCUUGAGUUAAGGAGAGGAAAGUGGAAUUCCUAGUGUAGCGGUGAAAUGCGUAGAUAUUAGGAGGAAUACCAGUGGCGAAGGCGACUUUCUGGACUUAUACUGACGCUGAGGCACGAAAGCGUGGGGAGCAAACAGGAUUAGAUACCCUGGUAGUCCACGCCGUAAACGAUGAGCGCUAGGUGUUGGGGGUCAAACCUCGGUGCCGCAGCUAACGCAUUAAGCGCUCCGCCUGGGGAGUACGUACGCAAGUGUGAA